RNAcentral lists this ribosomal RNA (429 nucleotides) under Pseudomonadota bacterium. Its description in RNAcentral is "Proteobacteria bacterium partial 16S ribosomal RNA". It matches the Rfam family "Bacterial small subunit ribosomal RNA", at positions 355 to 776 of the family's 1533-position model. The record is from RNAcentral. Lineage: Bacteria; Pseudomonadati; Pseudomonadota.
UUGGGAAUAUUGGACAAUGGGCGAAAGCCUGAUCCAGCCAUGCCGCGUGUGUGAAGAAGGUCUUCGGAUUGUAAAGCACUUUAAGUUGGGAGGAAGGGCAGUAAGCGAAUACCUUGCUGUUUUGACGUUACCGACAGAAUAAGCACCGGCUAACUCUGUGCCAGCAGCCGCGGUAAUACAGAGGGUGCAAGCGUUAAUCGGAAUUACUGGGCGUAAAGCGCGCGUAGGUGGUUCGUUAAGUUGAAUGUGAAAGCCCCGGGCUCAACCUGGGAUCUGCAUCCAAAACUGGCGAGCUAGAGUAGGGCAGAGGGUGGUGGAAUUUCCUGUGUAGCGGUGAAAUGCGUAGAUAUAGGAAGGAACACCAGUGGCGAAGGCGACCACCUGGGCUCAUACUGACACUGAGGUGCGAAAGCGUGGGGAGCAAACAGG